Molecule: non-coding RNA, 3359 nt
Organism: Arachis ipaensis
Lineage: Eukaryota; Viridiplantae; Streptophyta; Magnoliopsida; Fabales; Fabaceae
Source: RefSeq, a predicted model, not a curated record
UAUCCAAAAACCGCCAUUUUAACCCUGGAAAUAACGGCGGUUUGAACCGCCGUUUUAACCAACCAAAACGCCACUCUGUCAGGGUAAUAAUGGCGGUUCAAACCGCCGUUUUAACCUAUCCAAGAACCGCCAUUUUAAUCCUGGAAAUAACGGUGGUUUGAACCGCCAUUUUAACCUAUCCAAAAACCGCCGUUUUAAUCCAGAAAAUUAUGGCGGUUUUCAAAAAACUACCGUAAUAACUAGAAUGGCGCCCAAAAUUACGUCGCUUCCUAAAACCGCCAUUCUUGGUAAUAAUGGCGGUUCAAACCGCCGUAAAUACCUAAAAAAACCGCCGUUUUAACCAGAAUUUUUUGUAGUGUACCCCACAUGAAACAUUUCAGAAACUCUUUAAUCCAAGUAUCAGCAAAAGAGAUUUUAAAGCCUUGAAUGAUAAUUUUAAAUUGAGUGUUCAUAAUUUUAUGUAUGUUAUUAUAAUUAGAUAUUAUCAAUCUCCAGGUAUCAUUAGAUACUAUUAUUUAAGGGCUAUGGUACAUUUUUUUGUACUAAUUAGAUAAGUAAUAUUUAAAAUAUAAUAAUAGUAUUUACUAAUAUAAAGUGUUACCCGUUUAGUAUUGUGUGUUCCAUUGCAUGAUUUAAUAUAAAGUGUUUUACUGCAUUUAAAAUUUUUAAUUCUACUCCAUAUGGUUCCAAAAUAUAAUCUUUGAAUCUUGGCUAUAGUGUUUUGGAUUAGGAAUUUUGUGUUUUCAAUUGGUGGUAUUUGAAUGUUAGUUUAGUAUUGGAUUUGGUGGGUGAGGCUUUAGGAUUUAUGGUAUUUGAGUCCAUAGUUUAUUUUUUAAGGUUUAUGUCUUUAUGGUUUGAUUGAUAGGUUCUUUUAGCAUUUAGGUUUCCUGCUUUGCGAUUUUGAAUAUAUGGUUAAGGGUUAAAGUUUAGGAUUUUUUGUGUAGUUUAUGUUCUCGGUUUUACAAAUAAUGAAAUUAGUGUGACGAGUUUAGAAUUUACAGUUUAGGAUUCAUGAUUUUGCAAUUUAUGGUAUGAGUUUUGGGAUUUGAGGUUAAGAGUUUAGAGUUUUGGGUUUGUGAUUUUCUAUUUAAGUAUUACGGUAUACGAUUCAAAUUUACAUAUAGGUUUAGCGGAGGUUAGGGUUUGAGAGUUACUAUUUAAGCUUGUUGGUUUAGAGUUCAGUAUUUAUAAUUUAUGGUUUGUUAGGAGCAUUAAGAGAUUGUAGUCGAUGAUGUAAGAUUUAGGGUUUACAUUUUAUGGUUUACAAUAUUGGCUUAAUCAUUUAGGAUUUAUGUUUUCCAACGUAAAAAAUUUCACCAUUGUAAUAUUAUUCGAGAAAAAAAAAUUUGUAUACGCUAUUGAUUCAUUUGUAACAGACGCGGAUAAUCAAAGUAACCAAUAUAUUUUAAUUUUAUUUGGACUUUGAACCGAUUUUAUUUAUUUUCACAAUGAAUGAUCAUUUUGUUUCACAACCCACACAAUCUGGCCCGGUAAAUAUUUUUUUCACAAAGCCUCAAACCUUUAAUUAAAAAAUUAGUUGAAGAUAUCUUUUUCAGUACACUUUAUAUUGUACCAAGCUUUUCACUUUAUUACUUUCUACUGAGAAUAUCGAUCUGAGACUUUAUUCUUCCACAUAAUCCAUUAUUACACAUGUGCCUAAGCCAAGCCACAACAUGACUCCAAAGCUUAUUUUUGUCUGAUCUAGCAGUCAAGGAUGUCCAUAAUAGCCAACAGAGACGACAUGAGCAGGCAUGCAUUUUAGAGGUUUAUCGAAUUGUGGUAUGCAUGGCCAAGGUUCAAGAACCCCUUUUUCCAAUUCAACGUCAACAAGUAGGUAUAAUCUGAUACUCUCUACCAUAAAGUUAUGAUAGUAUAUAAUUUUUACUCUUUAGAUAUAUUCAAUUAUAAUAUUCUACUAUAAUGUGUUAAGCAACAAAUAUUAAACGUUCUAUCAAUGGAUCGUAAGAAGACAUAGCAUUGACGAAACAUAUAAUGGAAAAUUUUAAGCAACAAGAUUAUAAUUUCAUAUUUGUGAUGGUCAUAGGUAACAACUGUUUAUGAUGCACUUUGGUGACAAGAGAAAAUGAAAUGUUUAUUCCAUUUUAUGAGCUAAAGAAGGUUUAUAAGUUAUAUGACACCCAUAAAUAUUGUACUGUCAAACUUCGAUAUGUUAGUUGGGGUAUAUUUUAUCUCAUCAUGUGGGAUAAGCACUGGAACCAGGUGACAGGAGAAGUAUCUGCUGACCACUAUAUAAAGGACGUCUUUUCCUUCACAGAGAUUUAUCUCAUCCAUAAUGUAUUUUAGUUUAAGGUAUUCUGAUAAAGACCCCUCUACAAUAGCUCAAAUAAGAACAAGCAAUGAUGAGUCGAAGAAAGAUAAAGUAACCACUAAACAAACUCCUAAAAUGUAACACACAUUGUUAUAAUUUAAGAGCAUCAACCAAUUUUUAUUUAUAUACUAACAUACAUACUCUAUUAACUAUCUGACUUUUUUGAGAUAGUGACAUAAAAAGGAAAGUUGAAGUCGAGGAUUUAAGUGAUUAUUAUUGUGAAAGGUAUUUCGUGAUUUGAUUUAUAUGUCUAUGUGAAAUACUUUGUUACCAGCCUAAUAUUUUUAUGUAUUUUACAAAUAGAUCAAUAGGCUGGUGCACUUAUUCUAAGUUCUUAACCAGGUCUGAUAUUCAAGCUAUUUUGUAAGUUAUUAAAAAAUAAAAAUAUUUUAAAAAAUAUAUUUUUUUACUAUUUUUUAACUCAUUAUUGACUAUCUUACAAUAUGUGUCACGAAAAUUCUUUGCCAUACUGCUUAAAGCAGGCAUAAAUAGUGAGUGGCAUGUUAUAAAACCUCCAACUAAACCAACCAGAAAUUUUAUCUUCAAGUUAAUGCCCAACGAGAAUUGAAAGAAAGAACUGAAGCUGGAGGUGAUUGGAAGCUAUUCUACAGUUAUUAUAGAUUAAAACAAGGUGAUUUCUACAGGUUGGAUAUUAAAUUUGUGCAGGAGAGAAUCAUGAAGGUUGUCCUGCAUUAGUGACUUAUCUUAAUAGCUUACCCUCUUGAAUUAUGGAUUUGGACUUGUAAUACUUUACAAGUGACGGUCCACUUUGCAGUAUUAGAAACUUUUUGAGCUUUGAAUAGCUAUAAUGGACAUAUAUUACCCUAUAAUGGGACUCAUUGUGUAUAGCUUUAAUCUUUAAGACUUUAAACAUUUAUUAAAGAAACAAAAUAGAACUUAAGAAUUUUUGUUAUUACCACCUACUUUCCCAAAAGAUACCAAAUUUGAAAAUGAAGACAAGGAACAUAUACAUUUUGUAAGGUGAAAUUCAUGUGAAACAUGUUUUUUUUUAGACAGCAACUUUAUUCAA